Molecule: ribosomal RNA, 253 nt
Filed under: uncultured bacterium
Lineage: Bacteria
Description: partial 16S ribosomal RNA
Rfam family: Bacterial small subunit ribosomal RNA
Source: RNAcentral
UACGAAGGGGGCUAGCGUUGUUCGGAAUUACUGGGCGUAAAGGGCGCGUAGGCGGUUUAUCAAGUUAGGUGUGAAAGCCCUGGGCUCAACCCAGGAACUGCAUUUAAGACUGAUAGGCUAGAGAUCUAGAGGGGAUAGUGGAAUUCCAAGUGUAGAGGUGAAAUUCGUAGAUAUUUGGAGGAACACCAGUGGCGAAGGCGACUAUCUGGCUAGAAUCUGACGCUGAGGCGCGAUAGCGUGGGGAGCAAACAGG